This 369-nucleotide long non-coding RNA is filed under the name Salmo salar (Atlantic salmon). RNAcentral's name for it is "lncRNA (ENSSSAG00000094584.1)". Lineage: Eukaryota; Metazoa; Chordata; Actinopteri; Salmoniformes; Salmonidae. The record is from RNAcentral.
CCUGACUCCCGUGGUAAAACUGACUUUGGUCAAGAGUGUCACUACUGUCAAGGCUCAGGUCAUUGGAAAAACGAAUGUCCGGUUCUCAGGUCUAGGGGUAAAUUCAGUACGUGUGUUAACCUCUAUGGGCUAGGUGGGACGAAUUCGUCCCGCCUAGCCUAGAGAGAUUAAAUCGGGUACAUUUUUUUAUCCAGACGUGCAAAUGCUGCCCCCUAGCCCUAACAGGUUAAAGAGGUGGGGUUUCAGGUGUCUCCGGAAGGUGGUGAUUGACUCCGCUGUCCUGGCGUCGUGAGGGAGCUUGUUCCACCAUUGGGGUGCCAGAGCAGCGAACAGUUUUGACUGGGCUGAGCGGGAACUGUGCUUCCUCAG